RNAcentral lists this ribosomal RNA (433 nucleotides) under uncultured organism. RNAcentral's name for it is "bacterial SSU rRNA". It matches the Rfam family "Bacterial small subunit ribosomal RNA", at positions 8 to 487 of the family's 1533-position model. The record is from RNAcentral.
AGAGUUUGAUCCUGGCUCAGAACGAACGCUGGCGGCAUGCCUAACACAUGCAAGUCGAACGAGAUCUUCGGGUCUAGUGGCGCACGGGUGCGUAACGCGUGUGAAUCUGCCCUUUGGUUCGGAAUAACAGUUGGAAACGACUGCUAAUACCGGAUGAUGACGAAAGUCCAAAGAUUUAUCGCCAGAGGAUGAGCCCGCGUAGGAUUAGCUAGUUGGUGUGGUAAAGGCGCACCAAGGCGACGAUCCUUAGCUGGUCUGAGAGGAUGAUCAGCCACACUGGGACUGAGACACGGCCCAGACUCCUACGGGAGGCAGCAGUGGGGAAUAUUGGACAAUGGGCGAAAGCCUGAUCCAGCAAUGCCGCGUGAGUGAUGAAGGCCUUAGGGUUGUAAAGCUCUUUUACCCGGGAUGAUAAUGACAGUACCGGAGAAUA